AAAUAAACUCUCUUGUAACCAGUGCACAUGGCAUUGGGUAUUGGGUACCACUGCACAUGGAAAGAGAAAGGGAGAGAAUACCAUAAAACCAGAAACCAUACAGCACAAAAGCAUCAAUUGAAAUUAGAAAUUUAGAAACCAUAAAACCAGGCAAAAGCAUCAACGGAACGGGGAAAUAACAGAGGCGAGAGAGAAAACUCAGAAACAUGGAGGCGAUGGAGCAGAUGAGAUCAUGAGAAAACUCAGAAAAGAAAGAAGGACUUACCUGCAAAGGUGGAAACAGAGGCGGCGACGUGGAGGUUUGUUUGCGGCAAGGAGAAGACGUGAUUUUCAUUUUAGGUGUGCUAGUUGUAUACGCUGGAUUUGGUUCUCUAAUGAUCACUACUUGCAUCAGCUAUUUGUCUCAUUCACAGAUAUAGGCUUUACAAGAUGAUAUAACAGUCUUCAUUGGAGGGAAGACUAACAAAGCAAAGAUGGAAUUUAAAGUUUUGUUCAACCCAAUGAGAUUAUGCUCAGACUACUCAAGCAUGCGGCAAUGCACGGGUAACAUUAAUAAAUGAGGUGCAGGACCGUGCUACAAAUUUAUGGAUGCUUUGAAUGUGGUGCUGUGUACGACAAAGUUGC
Glycine soja is the source of this 624-nucleotide long non-coding RNA. RefSeq lists it as uncharacterized. The record is from RefSeq and is a predicted model, not a curated record. The transcript is spliced from 4 exons. Lineage: Eukaryota; Viridiplantae; Streptophyta; Magnoliopsida; Fabales; Fabaceae.